RNAcentral lists this ribosomal RNA (253 nucleotides) under uncultured bacterium. RNAcentral's name for it is "partial 16S ribosomal RNA". It matches the Rfam family "Bacterial small subunit ribosomal RNA", at positions 524 to 776 of the family's 1533-position model. The record is from RNAcentral.
UACGAAGGGGGCUAGCGUUGCUCGGAAUUAUUGGGCGUAAAGCGCGUGUAGGCGGUUUGUUAAGUCGGUUGUGAAAUCCCAUGGCUCAACCAUGGAAGUGCUGCCGAAACUGGCGAACUAGAGUCCCGACGAGGAUGGCGGAAUUCCCAGUGUAGAGGUGAAAUUCGUAGAUAUUGGGAGGAACACCGGUGGCGAAGGCGGCCAUCUGGGAGGGUACUGACGCUCAGACGCGAAAGCGUGGGUAGCAAACAGG